ACGGGUGAGUAACGCGUGGGAACGUGCCUUCCGGUUCGGAAUAACCCUGGGAAACUAGGGCUAAUACCGGAUACGCCCUUAUGGGGAAAGGUUUACUGCCGGAAGAUCGGCCCGCGUCUGAUUAGCUAGUUGGUGGGGUAACGGCCUACCAAGGCGACGAUCAGUAGCUGGUCUGAGAGGAUGAUCAGCCACACUGGGACUGAGACACGGCCCAGACUCCUACGGGAGGCAGCAGUGGGGAAUAUUGGACAAUGGGCGCAAGCCUGAUCCAGCCAUGCCGCGUGAGUGAUGAAGGCCUUAGGGUUGUAAAGCUCUUCUAUCCGGGACGAUAAUGACGGUACCGGAGGAAUAAGCCCCGGCUAACUUCGUGCCAGCAGCCGCGGUAAUACGAAGGGGGCUAGCGUUGCUCGGAAUCACUGGGCGUAAAGGGCGCGUAGGCGGCGUUUUAAGUCGGGGGUGAAAGCCUGUGGCUCAACCACAGAAUGGCCUUCGAUACUGGGACGCUUGAGUAUGGUAGAGGUUGGUGGAACUGCGAGUGUAGAGGUGAAAUUCGUAGA
Molecule: ribosomal RNA, 557 nt
Filed under: uncultured Methylobacterium sp.
Lineage: Bacteria; Pseudomonadati; Pseudomonadota; Alphaproteobacteria; Hyphomicrobiales; Methylobacteriaceae
Description: bacterial SSU rRNA
Rfam family: Bacterial small subunit ribosomal RNA
Source: RNAcentral